Molecule: non-coding RNA, 100 nt
Filed under: Desulfosporosinus sp.
Lineage: Bacteria; Bacillati; Bacillota; Clostridia; Eubacteriales; Desulfitobacteriaceae
Description: Guanine sequence
Rfam family: Purine riboswitch aptamer
About the family: Riboswitches are metabolite binding domains within certain messenger RNAs that serve as precision sensors for their corresponding targets. Allosteric rearrangement of mRNA structure is mediated by ligand binding, and this results in modulation of gene expression.
Source: RNAcentral
AUUACAUAAUGAUUAUUAACUCAUAUAUCCUUGAUAAUAGGAUCAAGGGUUUCUACGAAGCGACCGUAAUUGCUUCUCUAUGAGCCAGGAUGGUUUAUAG